GUUUUUCAGAAACUUUUGGAGGUCUAAAAACUUGUGUUUUUGCUCAUCCGCACAAGCACCAUGAACCACUUUCUGCCUCGUGACCUGCAGGUUUCCACCCAACUCUGAGGACAAGUCUAUCCUCCGUUGUAAAGUCAAGAGAUUGAGUAAGAGUGGGCUGUUCAAGGUCAGCUUGUGGGCCUGGGCCAGUGGGACGCAGGAUUUAGGGGCAGAGGGCGGCAGGCCUCAGGCCACAGUGCAUGUUUGUGACCUACUCCCCUGUUUGCUGCCCUGGGAGAGUGGCCUUGGUUUCUCUCCCUGAGGUUUAUUUUUUGCUCCCUCUGCUUUGGUCCAAGCCCCAGGACAUGAAAAGGGAGAACAACCCUGCCUGAACUCUACCUCCCUAAAGGUGAGGGGCUGGGGUAUUCACAGGGUAAGGACGCAGCGUGGUCUGAGGUGUGGGGAGAAGGGAAAGGUGAUGGGAAAUAAAAGGUGAGUUUCACUGUUGUUCUGAGCAGGCCUUGACUAAGCUGUGGGUUUUCCACAGGACACUUGUUCAGUAGAUGGAGCAGUUAGCAGCUUCUGAAGGUAGCCUUUUGGUCCCCGAUGUCUCAAAGGUCACUAGGCGGACACUCGUGCGUGCCCAGUGGGAGGCUUGGUGGUCCCAACCAGCCUGAACCAGACACAACUAACUCCAAAUUCUUAGAAAACAACUUGGGCAAACAUCUUAUUGUUUGUGCUCAGUGACGUGUGGAGGACACGCAAGCCUUUUGUGACGGCAGUGAAAGCAAGCUUGAUAAAAUGAGGACAGGUACAGGUGUAAUGGAUUUAACAAUUUCCUUUGGUUUCAAAACCUUAGUAAACAUGAGUGCAUGUAUGCUAAUUCUCUUCAGUUGUGUCUGACUGCGAGUCCAUGGACUGUAGCCCACCAGGCUCCACUGUCCAUGGGAUUCUGCAGGCAAGAACACUGGAGUGGGUUGCCAUGCCCUCUUCCAGGGGAGCUUCCCAACUCAGGGAGUGAACCCACACCUCUUACAUCUCCAGCACUGGCAGGCAGGUUCUUUACCACCAGUGCCACCUGUGAAGCCCUAAUUUCAGUUUCUCCAGGAGCAAAGUAGCUAGUAGCUAGUUCUGGCCCAGUGUCUUUGAUGAGGUUGCCAGUGGCUGGGACGUCCUUGGUGGUCCAGUGGCUAAGACUCCACGCUCCCAAUGCAAGAGGGCCUGGGUUCAAUCCCCAGUCAGGGAACUAGAUCCCACAUGCCAAGACCCAGGGCAGCAAAAUAAAUAAAAAUUUAAAAAGAAGAUGGUGGCUGAGGUUACAGCAUCUGAAGGCUUGGCUUGGGACUCAAGGUUUCCUCCCCUGCUCAGGGGCCCCCUCACGCUCUGGGCAAGCUGGUGCUGACUGUGGGCGCGAGGACUCAGUUCCUCUGCCUGGGGGCCUGUCCACACACCAGCAAAGCUGGAGUCAGCUGUGUCUAGUUCAGCUGCGCAAGAGUCAGCGGUGUCCAGUUUGAGCUGAGCUGGUUGAGACUGGCUGGGACCACUGACCUUUCAACUGAGUGUGCGAACAUGCAAAGGCCUGUUGCUGAGCUAUGCCUGCACAAAGCGACGACCGGGACACCCUUUUCUAUCACCUUUCCCCACGGUCCCGUGUCUCAGACGACCUGCUUCUUCAGUCUUCAUCCCAUAAACACAUAAGCCCCUUGCCUGAGGGGAACCGGAUUUGGGGUUUGUUUUCCCAUCUCCUUGCUUGGUGGCCCUGCUGAUGGAUCCUCUCUUUGCUGCAGACCUUGGUGUCUCAGUGUUUUGGGUUGCGGUGCACCCAGCACGCUGCCUGCUGGGAUCAGCCACAGGGAGGUCUGAGAGGACUUGCCUGACCCGGGCCUACUGUGCCCCCAAAGCUGUGCUGCUCCCUGUGAGAUGCGGGCACCUCUGAUGCUAUGAAAAAGUCACCGCUGGCUAUUCACUGACCCCUGUGGUUUGUGAGGUGGGUGAGAAGCUGAGAGCUGAGCAUCACACCUGGAGAUGGAGCCUGGCGGGAAGACGAGCUCAUGUUGGCAAAGCUGCAUGCUGGCAGAUAACAGCCUCUUUUCCAGCCCUGGGGCAGUUUCCAGCUUCUCCAGUCACGUUCAACCCACAGCUGUAGCCGGAGAAGCCAGAGGGGAGAGAGCUACUCCAACCAUGGGAGGAAGCCUGCUGCUUCCGGAUCCCAUCAUAGAGCCCCGCUGGGGAGGGGCCAGAGUGGGAGCCCCCCACGGUCCUCCAUCCUCGAGCGCAGAGGAGAUGGGAGAGAGGCAGCGGUCUCUGCCUGGGGCUGGUCCACCCUAGCUCAGCUGAAACACAGGCUUCUCCAGCCCCGAGUCCAUGGGGUUGGACAGAAGGCAGUUUGGGGCCCCUCCCACCCAGACUGUGGGGCAGGCCCAGGACGCAUGCCUGUCGUAGAUGCUGGCCCUUCAGGAGUGGCUGCCCUGGGUAGGUUGGGGCUGGGAUGAAAGCCUGAGGCCUGGUCUCUGGGUCACUGUGUUGGGUAACUGCUGGCCAUGUUUGUAGAGCAUGCACACUCUUGUGUUCUGAUCUCUGCAGACCGUCCUUGAAGGAUGUGUGCUCCUGGGUCUGGGUAAUGUUUUUCCUUUCUCUUAAAAGAUAGACUUCUAAGAGCAGCUUUAGGUUCACAGCUAAACUAGGUGGAAAGUGUGACAUUUCAAUAUUCCUCCUCCCUCACACCCGUGGCUUCCCCGUCAUCAUCUCCACCGGUUGGUACUUGUGUUACAACUGAUGACCCCACAUGGACAUGUCAUUAUGACCCAGAGUCCACAGUUGACAUCAGGGGUCACUGUAGGUGGUGUGUGUCCUGUGGGUUUGGCCAAACAAAUAAUGACACGUAUAUUAUACAUCAAUACAGUAUCAUACAGAGAAGUUUCACUGCCCUAAAAACUCUCUGUUCUCCACCUGUUCAUCCCUCCCUCGCCACAAUCCCUCAAAAUCAGACCUUUUUAUCCUUGGCAUAUCUUGCCUUUUCCGUGACAUCAAACUAGUUGCAAUCAUAUAGCGUGUAGCCUUUGUUUCCUCCAUGUCUUCAUGACUUGACAGCUCGCUUAUUUUAGCAUGUAAUAAUAUUCCCAUCUGGAUGCCCUGUAGUUCAUUUAUCCAUCACCUACUGAAGGACACUUUGGUUGUUUUCAAGCUUUGGCAAUUAUGAAUAAAGUCACUGUGAAAAAGCACCCAUGUGCAAGUUUUUGUAUGGACAUGAGCGUCUUAAGAGGCAGGGAGGUGGUUUACUAUCUGGUCCUUGCUGGAAGCUUCCCUUGUAGCUCAGUUGGUAAAGAAUCUGCCUGCCAAUGCAGGAGACCAGUGUUUGAUCCCUGGGUUGGGAAGAUUCCCUGGAGAAGGAAAUGGCAACCCACUCCCGUAUUCUUGCCUGGAGAAUCCCAUGGACAGAGAAGCCUGGCAGGCUACAUUCCAUGGAGUCACAACAGUCGGACAUGGCUUAGUGACUAAACCACCUUGCUGGAAGGUCUCAGGGUCGGGCUGCGUGGAGAAGCUUCCCUGGGGGACCUGGAAACACCUGGUUUCUCACUGGCUUAGCUCCAGGGGGAACCCAUGUCCGUGUGUCUGGGAAAGAGGGCAGGCGAAGGAAGCCACUGAUGGAGAGGGAAAGGAAAGGCAAACGGGAAGAAAAAGAGAGGAAAAGGCUGUGUGGAUUAAACCAGAAUCCAGAUUUUUCUGAUCCUGUUGCCAAACGGUAACAUAGGACACGGAUGUCGAGUCGUUGAGGCAGGUUUGUGUGUCUCUGAGAGGGUAGAGAGUAGACCAUCCGUAUUUGAUGAACAUUCUGCCUUUAUUAUGAAAAGUGAAGCCUGGGGGUUCAGAGGGGGUUAAGAGAUUAAGGACUUGGAUACAAUCCUGGAAUUUCAUUCUUUAUAACUUUUGCACUUUUAAUGAAAAAUUUCAAACAUCUCUUCAAAGAGAUAUGCAGAGUAUAA
Bos taurus (domestic cattle) is the source of this 3962-nucleotide long non-coding RNA. The record is from Ensembl. Lineage: Eukaryota; Metazoa; Chordata; Mammalia; Artiodactyla; Bovidae.